RNAcentral lists this ribosomal RNA (253 nucleotides) under uncultured bacterium. RNAcentral describes it as "partial 16S ribosomal RNA". It matches the Rfam family "Bacterial small subunit ribosomal RNA", at positions 524 to 776 of the family's 1533-position model. The record is from RNAcentral.
UACGAAGGGGGCUAGCGUUGCUCGGAAUCACUGGGCGUAAAGGGCGCGUAGGCGGCGCGGUAAGUCACUUGUGAAAUCUCUGAGCUUAACUCAGAACGGCCAAGUGAUACUGCAGUGCUAGAGUGCAGAAGGGGCAAUCGGAAUUCUUGGUGUAGCGGUGAAAUGCGUAGAUAUCAAGAGGAACACCUGAGGUGAAGACGGGUUGCUAGGCUGACACUGACGCUGAGGCGCGAAAGCCAGGGGAGCAAACGGG